Molecule: ribosomal RNA, 253 nt
Filed under: uncultured bacterium
Lineage: Bacteria
Description: partial 16S ribosomal RNA
Rfam family: Bacterial small subunit ribosomal RNA
Source: RNAcentral
UACGGAGGAUGCGAGCGUUAUCCGGAUUUAUUGGGUUUAAAGGGUGCGUAGGCGGAUUGAUAAGUUAGAGGUGAAAUGUCCGAGCUCAACUCGAGAACUGCCUCUAAUACUGUUGAUCUAGAGAGUAGAUGCGGUAGGCGGAAUGUAUGGUGUAGCGGUGAAAUGCUUAGAGAUCAUACAGAACACCGAUUGCGAAGGCAGCUUACCAAUCUAUAUCUGACGUUGAGGCACGAAAGCGUGGGGAGCAAACAGG